GACGAACGCUGGCGGCGUGCUUAACACAUGCAAGUCGAACGGAAAGGCCCUGCUUUUGUGGGGUGCUCGAGUGGCGAACGGGUGAGUAACACGUGAGUAACCUGCCCUUGACUUUGGGAUAACUUCAGGAAACUGGGGCUAAUACCGGAUAGGAGCUCCUGCUGCAUGGUGGGGGUUGGAAAGUUUCGUCGGUUGGGGAUGGACUCGCGGCUUAUCAGCUUGUUGGUGGGGUAGUGGCUUACCAAGGCUUUGACGGGUAGCCGGCCUGAGAGGGUGACCGGCCACAUUGGGACUGAGAUACGGCCCAGACUCCUACGGGAGGAAGCAGUGGGGAAUAUUGCACAAUGGGCGGAAGCCUGAUGCAGCAACGCCGCGUGCGGGAUGACGGCCUUCGGGUUGUAAACCGCUUUCGCCUGUGACGAAGCGUGAGUGACGGUAAUGGGUAAAGAAGCACCGGCUAACUACGUG
RNAcentral lists this ribosomal RNA (468 nucleotides) under uncultured bacterium. Its description in RNAcentral is "partial 16S ribosomal RNA". It matches the Rfam family "Bacterial small subunit ribosomal RNA", at positions 28 to 507 of the family's 1533-position model. The record is from RNAcentral.